Molecule: ribosomal RNA, 253 nt
Filed under: uncultured bacterium
Lineage: Bacteria
Description: partial 16S ribosomal RNA
Rfam family: Bacterial small subunit ribosomal RNA
Source: RNAcentral
UACGUAGGGUGCGAGCGUUGUCCGGAAUUAUUGGGCGUAAAGAGCUUGUAGGCGGUUUGUCGCGUCUGCUGUGAAAUCUCAAGGCUCAACCUUGAGCUUGCAGUGGGUACGGGCAGACUAGAGUGUGGUAGGGGAGACUGGAAUUCCUGGUGUAGCGGUGAAAUGCGCAGAUAUCAGGAGGAACACCAGUGGCGAAGGCGGCUCACUGGACUGGUACUGACGCUGAUGCGCGAAAGCGUGGGGAGCAAACAGG